This 77-nucleotide transfer RNA is filed under the name Shigella flexneri. Its description in RNAcentral is "tRNA-Met". It matches the Rfam family "tRNA". Rfam says of the family: Transfer RNA (tRNA) molecules are approximately 80 nucleotides in length. Their secondary structure includes four short double-helical elements and three loops (D, anti-codon, and T loops). Lineage: Bacteria; Pseudomonadati; Pseudomonadota; Gammaproteobacteria; Enterobacterales; Enterobacteriaceae. The record is from RNAcentral.
GCCGGGGUGGAGCAGCUUGGUAGCUCGUCGGGCUCAUAACCCGAAGGUCGUCGGUUCAAAUCCGGCCCCCGCAACCA